RNAcentral lists this long non-coding RNA (3541 nucleotides) under Homo sapiens (human). Its description in RNAcentral is "PREDICTED lncRNA (TCONS_00180608)". Lineage: Eukaryota; Metazoa; Chordata; Mammalia; Primates; Hominidae. The record is from RNAcentral.
CGGGGGCUCUGCCCAGCAGGAGGCGCUCGCGUCUUCCUUUGUUGAAAUUGAUCUCUGCGCUUGAACAGUUAGAUCUGUGACUUGCCACUCAGAGCCUACAUAGCGGACGCCAGGAAUCAUGUUUACUGUCCUGUCUCCCUUUUUGACAGGCACACAUUUUAUUUUUUAAAUACAUGAAGCGCGCCGUGCUUUGUAAGCGCUGACUGAAUGUGCCUAUUUUCACACCCUCUCCUGACCCUGGGCUGGAACGUGGGCGAGUGCAGGAUGGUGGCCAGGGGCUUGGCUCUUGGUCAGUAUGUGCCUCAUCUAUCUCGUCUGUAAAAUGGACAGACGAGGUAACACGUGUGCCUACGUCAGAGCAUUGUUGGAAGGAUUAGAGGAGUCAAGAUAUGGAAGGCCCACAGAAUGGUUGGGGAGAAAAGCCAGCUUCUGGAGGCAGGGGAAAGGGUGGGGAGUGGCUGGGGAAGCAGGGCCUGUACCCUGGGUUUCUGCAUUGGGGUUACUCCUUUGCUGCUGGGAGUGAUAGCAGGGUGAUGAGAGCCACCCUGGGCCUGCGCUCCUCCUGGUCAUGCUGUUGUCCUGGGUCCCAGGGUGCCUGGGAAAGGGCACACAGCUUUACUGAUGGGUGGCCAGUGGGGAGUGCCCCCAUCGGGCAUUCCACCAGUCGGCCCCGAUGGUCCUGGCCUCCUCAUGUUUAUCUGGCCCAGGGACACCAAGGCUCAGAGAGGUAAACUUGCCCGAGGUCACACAGCUAGGAGGGGGAGCUGAGUCAUCACCCAGGUUUGUCUGCCCCAGGGCUGGAGCUCUGUUUUCAGGCCACCUGACCAGCUGAGGAGAUCGUCAGAAAGGCUGGGACACCAACGGAUGACGCACAAAUGGAGGAAUUUUCAGGCACGGUCAAAGCUAAUGGGAGGGAAAAUACUGAAGUGUAAUAUUCCAGAGUUCUCUCUUGUCUGCUCUGACUCCUGCCAGCUGCCCUGCACCUAGAGGGACAGGAGGCUCUUCUCCGGGGCAUUGCAUGGCCGGGAGCCAAAUGAGCUGGCACCAGAACCUGGUGAGUUGCCUGGCUUUUCAGACCUCAGCCUCCUCACCUGUGAAGUGGGUUGAACAGCUCUUCUCUGCAGAGGAGCUGUUGAGGGCGGUAUGGAACACUGCCAGGCACACAGUUGGCCCUUGACAAAACCAUUGCUGUGUCCCCAGCCUGUUUCUCCCCAAGUCCCAUUGAUGGUUCUCUCUAUCCCUGUUUCCUCAGAAGGUCAGGUUUUCUAAGCCCGAAGGCUUGGAGCCAGGCAGGAGCUGUCUCCCUCUCCAGUGCUGCCGACUCAACCCUUUUCCCUUAGAAGCAGGGAGGGAGGCUCCCCUUGGCUCCCUCCCUCUGCAGCCCUGGCUCUGCGCCCUGGGAAUGCUGCCUGGGGCAGGGCCACGUAGAGAGCAGGGCCAGUGCAGGCCUUUGGGUGUUCCCAGUGGCCAAAGUCCUUUAGUCUGCUUUCCUUUGGGCCCCCUUGCACCCCUGAAUGGAUGACCUGGGGGAUUCCAAGUCGGUUUGGGAGGGGUGACAGCACAAGGCUGGAGGUUGGGAGAGUCUGGCUGUCAUCCCAGCUUGGAUUGUAGUCUGCCAUGUGACCUUUGGGCCAAAGAUAAAUCCUCCCUGGGCCACAGUGUCCCUGCUGGUCAGAUGAAAGAAUCAGAUGAGAUCAUUUCUGAGGAUCUUUCCAGGCUUCAUAUUCUUCUGUUUGAUUAUCCCCCCAAAUAAAUUGGAAAUUGGAGGCCCAAGGAUGAGCCCUGGUUGAGGACGCAGAGCCCAGGGGCCGUCCCAUCCUCCACACUUGGCCCAGCUGUGAGUGGGGGAAUGGGAUUUAGCACCUGAAGCCCCAGAUUUAAAUAUAUCCCCACUCCCCGCCGGGGUCCCCGCACUCCUGCACCUCCCUCCUCCCAGGACGGCCCUGACCUGCAGGCAUUGUUCCCCGCCCAUGCCCAAGCCCCGAGGGAAUUCCAUCGGGUUGGAGAGUCUUCCCUUCUGUAGGGGGCUUUGCUCCUCUCUACCAGUUAUGUGACCUUGGGCAAGUCACUUCAGCUGCCUGACCCCAGCUCCCUAGGACUAGUUGAAGUAAUGGAUAUAAACACCCUUUGGGGACCAAAAGCCCCUAGAGAGAUGAGACCUGGCCCAGGCAGUAAGUCUUCAACAAAUGUAGAAUAGGAGGAUGCUGUAAACAAGCCAGCCAAAACCCACCAAAUCCCUUGGUGGAGGAUAAGGGACAUUUGAGACAGUCUUUAUACAGGAGUCUCGGGCCCCAGGAAGCCAGGGCAGAGAGUCUUUGCCAAACUUCCCCCUGCCUAACAAGAAGGAAACUGAGGCAGGACCCUGCCAGACCCAGAGGCAAACAGGCUGCCCUCCUGUGAACUUGUUGGGGGUCAUUUCCACAAGGGAAUAGUUCUAGAAGACCAGGGUGAGUCAGUAACAAUGGCAGAAUUCCAGUCAGAGGAAGAAGACUUUGGUGUAGCUGGGGCUGGAGCAUAGAGGAGCGACUUGGCUGCCGCCCUGGCCCUGUGUCAGAGGUGUUAGAACCAGAGCCACUCCAUCUUGAGUAGGAGCUGGGUAAAAUAGGGCUGAGACCUGCUGGGCUGCAUUCCCAGGAGGUUAGGCAUUUUUAGUCACAGGAUGAGAUGGGAGUCGGCAGGACUGGUAUCAUAAGAUACAGGUCAUAAAUACCCUGCUGAUAAACAGGAUGCGCUAAACAAGCCGGCCAAAACACACCAAAUCCAAGAUGGUGAUGAAAGUGAUCUCUGGUCAUCCUCACUGCUCAUUAUACACUAAUUAUAAUGCAUUAGCAUGCUAAAAGACACUCCCACCAGCACCAUGACAAUUUACAAAUGCCAUGGCAAUGUCCAGAAAUUACCUUAUACGGUCUAAAAGCGGGAGGAACUCUCAGUUCUGGGGAAAUCUCCCCUUUCUUGGAAAACUGAUUAAUAAUCCACCCUUUGUUUAGCAUAUAAUCAAGAAAUAACCAUAAAAACAGCCAACCAGCAGCGCUCAGGGGUGGUCUGUCUAUGGAGUAGCCAUUCUUUUGUUUCUUUACUUCUCUGUAAACUUGCUUUGACUUCACUCUGUGGACUCACCUCAAAUUCUUUCUUGUGCGAGUCCAGGAACCCUCUCUUUGGGUCUGGAUUGGGACCCCUUUCCAGUACCAUUUUUUCUAGUGAACCACGAAGGGACGAUACCAGAAAACACCCUCAACCCAAAGGAAAUAGACUACAGCCCCAAUUGGCUGACUUUGGCUAUAGAAAAAAGAAAGGAACGAAAAGAGACAGUUUUUUUUGGAAAGCUAAGUCUUCCCUUUAUCGAGUCAAGAAACCCCCCCUUCUUGAGCUAUUUACAGCUUUUAACAAUUGAGUAAAGUACGCUCCGUCAUCUCUUGACUGCUUCUCGUCAGAAACAAGAGGGAUGGAUAACAUAAAAAUCUGGAUCAGUAUCUAAUUCUGAGCAUGUAUUGGAAUCGUCUAGCAACUCCGUAUCAGCUCAUCUAGCAAUUCCUGUGACUAA